GACGAACGCUGGCGGCGUGCUUAACACAUGCAAGUCGAACGGAAAGGCCCUGCUUUUGUGGGGUUCUCGAGUGGCGAACGGGUGAGUAACACGUGAGUAACCUGCCCUUGACUUUGGGAUAACUUCAGGAAACUGGGGCUAAUACCGGAUAUGAGCUCCUGCUGCAUGGUGGGGGUUGGUAAGUUUCGGCGGUUGGGGAUGGACUCGCGGCUUAUCAGCUUGUUGGUGGGGUGGUGGCUUACCAAGGCUUUGACGGGUAGCCGGCCUGAGAGGGUGACCGGCCACAUAGGGCCUGGGAUACGGCCCAGACUCCUACGGGAGGCAGCAGUGGGGAAUAUUGCACAAUGGGCGGAAGCAUGAUGGAGCAACGCCGCGUGCGGGAUGACGGCCUUCGGGUUGUAAACCGCUUUCGCGUGUGACGAAGCGUGAGUGACGGUAAUGGGUAAAGAAGCACCGGCUAACUACGUG
This 468-nucleotide ribosomal RNA is filed under the name uncultured bacterium. RNAcentral describes it as "partial 16S ribosomal RNA". It matches the Rfam family "Bacterial small subunit ribosomal RNA", at positions 28 to 507 of the family's 1533-position model. The record is from RNAcentral.